RNAcentral lists this ribosomal RNA (200 nucleotides) under uncultured bacterium. Its description in RNAcentral is "partial 16S ribosomal RNA". It matches the Rfam family "Bacterial small subunit ribosomal RNA", at positions 29 to 222 of the family's 1533-position model. The record is from RNAcentral.
AGCGAACACUGGCGGUAGGCCUAACACAUGCAAGUCGAACGGCAGCACAGUAAGAGCUUGCUCUUAUGGGUGGCGAGUGGCGGACGGGUGAGGAAUACAUCGGAAUCUACUUUUUCGUGGGGGAUAACGUAGGGAAACUUACGCUAAUACCGCAUACGACCUACGGGUGAAAGCAGGGGACCUUCGGGCCUUGCGCGAUU